AUGAUCCCGACGCGGCUGCUCUGCUGCUGCUACUUGCUGUGGUUCAUCUUCAUCGCCGUCGCCCCGCGCACGAUCGAUUCCAAGCUGGUGACCACCCUCCCUGGCUUCGACGGCCGCCUCCCCUUCCGCCUCCACACUGGGUACGUGGAGGUGGACCAGGGCACGGAACUCUUCUACUACUUUGUCGAGUCGGAGGCCGGCGGCGAGGGGGACCCUUUCCUUCUCUGGCUCACCGGCGGCGACCACUGCUCCGUCUUCAGCGGGCUCGCCUACGAGAUCGGUCCCAUCAGGUUCGUCCUGGAGCCCUACAAUGGCAGCUUACCACGCCUGCACAUCAAUCCAAACUCAUGGACAAAGGUGGCACACAUCCUGUUCGUCGACUCACCGGUGGGUGCUGGAUUUUCCUUUUCCAAGCAACCCAAGGGGUACGAGGUCGGGGAUGUGUCCUCCUCAUUGCAGCUCCAUGACUUCCUCAUCAAGUGGUUCAGCGACCACCCCAAAUACCUGAAAAAUCCUUUCUAUAUCGGUGGAGAUUCCUAUGCUGGAAAACUUGUGCCAUAUAUCGUGCACAUCAUUUCACAAGGUAUUGAAGCAGGAAAUAGUCCCCGCAUUAAUCUUAAGGGAUAUCUAGUAGGUAACCCGUCGACUGGUGAAAGCAUCGAUAUAAGCUCUAAAGUGCCAUAUGCUCACGGAGUUGGUAUAAUAUCAGAUCAAUUAUACGAGACCAUAUUGGGGCAUUGCCAAGGACAGGACUACAUGUUUCCAACAAAUGAUUUGUGCGCCCAAGCUCUGGAUGAUUUCAAUCAUCUUUUGUCCGAAGUUCAGCAGGCCCAAAUUUUGUUGGACACCUGCGUUUUUGCGUCCGUUCCAGCCCGACCAGAAGCUGAUAGUGGGACCGAGUACUCGGGUGGCUCUGGUAGGAGGAUCCUAGUUGGAAAUCCGCCACCUCGCCCUCCAUUUGGAUGUAUCACCUAUGGGUACUACCUAUCGUAUUUCUGGGCAAAUGCGGAGGUGGCCCGAAAUGCUCUUGGGAUCAAGGAGGGGAGCGUGGAGGAGUGGGUGAGGUGCCACAACGGCGAUCUGCCCUACACAAUCGACCUCAGGAGCAGCAUUGAGUACCACCGGAACGUCACGGCCAAUGGUGGCUACCGUGCGCUUGUAUACAGCGGCGACCAUGACGCGAUGGUGCCGCACCUGGGGACACAGGCGUGGAUAAGGUCACUUGGCUUCCCCAUCGCCCACCAUUGGAGGGCGUGGCAUCUCCAUGGCCAGUCUGCUGGGUUCACCUUAACUUACUCCAACAACAUGACAUUCGCAACCAUUAAGGGCGGCGGGCACACCGCGCCGGAGUACGAGCCCGAGAGGUGCUUCGCCAUGUUUAGCCGAUGGAUACUCGGCGAACCACUCUAG
Molecule: ribosomal RNA, 1410 nt
Filed under: Triticum aestivum (bread wheat)
Lineage: Eukaryota; Viridiplantae; Streptophyta; Magnoliopsida; Poales; Poaceae
Description: partial small subunit ribosomal RNA
Source: RNAcentral